This 181-nucleotide small nuclear RNA is filed under the name Rhodnius prolixus. RNAcentral describes it as "U4 spliceosomal RNA". The stretch from base 1 to 82 matches the Rfam family "U4 spliceosomal RNA". The record is from RNAcentral. Lineage: Eukaryota; Metazoa; Arthropoda; Insecta; Hemiptera; Reduviidae.
UCCGUUGCGCAGUGGCAAUAUCGUAACCAAUGAAGGUCUCCUGAGGUGCGAUCAUUGCUAGUUGAAAACUACCUGCAAAGCUAAGAUGUAUUGUUGGUUUAGUGGGUUCGAUUCCCCGGUCUUAGGCCUUGGAUUUUAUUUGAUGGUUAAUAUGAGAAAUUUACAGUAAAGUAUGUUUGCU